RNAcentral lists this ribosomal RNA (505 nucleotides) under uncultured bacterium. RNAcentral's name for it is "bacterial SSU rRNA". It matches the Rfam family "Bacterial small subunit ribosomal RNA", at positions 791 to 1299 of the family's 1533-position model. The record is from RNAcentral.
UAGUCCACGCCGUAAACGAUGUCUACUAGUUGUUGGGACCCUUGAGGUCUUAGUGACGCGGCUAACGCAUUAAGUAGACCGCCUGGGGAGUACGGUCGCAAGAUUGAAACUCAAAGGAAUUGACGGGGGCCCGCACAAGCGGUGGAGCAUGUGGUUUAAUUCGAUGAUACGCGAGGAACCUUACCAGGGCUUAAAUGUGGUCUGACAGCUUUAGAGAUAGAGUUUUCUUCGGACAGAUCACAAGGUGCUGCAUGGUUGUCGUCAGCUCGUGCCGUGAGGUGUCAGGUUAAGUCCUAUAACGAGCGCAACCCCUAUCGUUAGUUGCUAACAAGUAAUGUUGAGGACUCUAGCGAGACUGCCGGUGUAAACCGCGAGGAAGGUGGGGAUGACGUCAAAUCAUCACGGCCCUUACGUCCUGGGCUACACACGUGCUACAAUGGUAUGGACAAUGAGCAGCCACUAUGCGAAUAGGAGCGAAUCUAUAAACCAUAUCACAGUUCGGAUC